Molecule: ribosomal RNA, 745 nt
Filed under: uncultured bacterium
Lineage: Bacteria
Description: bacterial SSU rRNA
Rfam family: Bacterial small subunit ribosomal RNA
Source: RNAcentral
ACGCUGGCGGCAGGCCUAACACAUGCAAGUCGAGCGGUAGAGAGAAGCUUGCUUCUCUUGAGAGCGGCGGACGGGUGAGUAAUGCCUAGGAAUCUGCCUGGUAGUGGGGGAUAACGUCCGGAAACGGACGCUAAUACCGCAUACGUCCUACGGGAGAAAGCAGGGGACCUUCGGGCCUUGCGCUAUCAGAUGAGCCUAGGUCGGAUUAGCUAGUUGGUGGGGUAAUGGCUCACCAAGGCGACGAUCCGUAACUGGUCUGAGAGGAUGAUCAGUCACACUGGAACUGAGACACGGUCCAGACUCCUACGGGAGGCAGCAGUGGGGAAUAUUGGACAAUGGGCGAAAGCCUGAUCCAGCCAUGCCGCGUGUGUGAAGAAGGUCUUCGGAUUGUAAAGCACUUUAAGUUGGGAGGAAGGGCAGUAAAUUAAUACUUUGCUGUUUUGACGUUACCGACAGAAUAAGCACCGGCUAACUCUGUGCCAGCAGCCGCGGUAAUACAGAGGGUGCAAGCGUUAAUCGGAAUUACUGGGCGUAAAGCGCGCGUAGGUGGUUCGUUAAGUUGGAUGUGAAAUCCCCGGGCUCAACCUGGGAACUGCAUUCAAAACUGACGAGCUAGAGUAUGGUAGAGGGUGGUGGAAUUUCCUGUGUAGCGGUGAAAUGCGUAGAUAUAGGAAGGAACACCAGUGGCGAAGGCGACCACCCGGACUGAUACUGACACUGAGGUGCGAAAGCGUGGGGAGCAAAC